AAAACCAAUCGGCAAACGUGGAUCUCUUUGAUGCGUAUUUCCGAAGCGCCGGUUUGGACUGCGAUGAUCGGAUUAGUGGCAAUGAAGCCGUCGCUUUCUUCCAGGGCUCCGGUCUCCCCAAACAGGUCCUUGCGCAGGGAGAAACUCGAGUGGUGAGUGUAGAUCUUGAACCGCUGUUCCGUGUAAUUUUAAGCACCGCAAAUCUUCCAUUGGCUCCAAGAUCUCUGGGAAGUUUUCAACAUUGGAGCACGAAGAGUGAUCAAGUUCCUCGAGAUAUUUCAACUUACAAAUGCUCAACAUAAUAGUUCAAGUAUUAUGUUGCAACCCCAUCUUAACCAAGGCAGAAUUUUCCUCCUGGCAACGUACUUAUCUCAUCAGCCAUUGUGCCAGUAUUUGUUGGGACCCAGUCUUCAGCUAGCCCAAGUACCCAUGUUGGUAGCCAGCCUCAGCAGGCCCAGUCAUUUGCAAAAGCAAACCAGCAGGUCUCCGACUAGUGCUACUGGAGUUUCAUCCGGAGCUGGGAACUCUGCUUCUAGUCAGUCUCAUUUGUCAUGGCCUAGGAUGACUCAAACUGAUGUUCAGAAGUACACCAGUAUUUUUGUGAAACGUGACACACACAGAGAUGGGAAAAUCACUGAUGCACAAGCCCGCGACCUAUUUCUGAAAUGGGACGACUAAGAGGUAGUACUAUUUUCUUUGUAUUCAUCUAUUGGCUUGUGUUUUACAGGCACAUAUGCCAUGUGGUUAUUGAAGCUCUUUUCUUCUGUUUGUUUCUCAUCUUGUUAGCUGUUAAUGGAACUGAUGCAUCUUUGCAAAACUUGUACUAUCCCUAUCCCGGAGUUACAGUUGUUCAUUUUUCCUCUUUUGGGUGGUGGAUGAUUGACAAUGUUUUAGUUGGUGGCAUUUAGCUUGAAUUCCUGAACAUAACAGGCUAGAUCAAGCAUAUUUUUCUGCGA
Long non-coding RNA from Pyrus x bretschneideri (Chinese white pear), 956 nucleotides. RefSeq lists it as uncharacterized. Lineage: Eukaryota; Viridiplantae; Streptophyta; Magnoliopsida; Rosales; Rosaceae. The record is from RefSeq and is a predicted model, not a curated record. The transcript has 2 exons.